This 953-nucleotide ribosomal RNA is filed under the name uncultured fungus. RNAcentral's name for it is "eukaryotic LSU rRNA". The stretch from base 643 to 796 matches the Rfam family "5.8S ribosomal RNA". The record is from RNAcentral. Lineage: Eukaryota; Fungi.
GUUUCCGUAGNGAACAUAAUGAUUUUCUGUGGNGAAUCUUAUGGAGCCUUGUACNUCAGCAAUGAGUAANUCCGCGACAUAAAAUAAUGUGAGCUCAUACAUACACAUCCGAACUGACGGGAACAUUCUAAUGCUUACAACACCAACUCAUGAGGGAAACCGAGUGAGGGCAAAUGCUAAUCACAUUUGAUGGUAAUAGCUUGUAAGAUGUACCAAUGAAUUAUCCGCAGCGAAACUCCUAAGUAUGUAAAUAUAUAUGGAGGACGUUCACAGACUAAGUGGUUGUGGGUGGAGUUAACUACUCUGCUUAAGAUAUAGUCGGGCUUGUGGCAUAUGCUACGAGAGAAUUUCAGCACAUGUCAAUGAUGAGAGUCCGCGUGGAAUCUUCCUGAUUUUAAAUCAUCAGGUCAUUCCACAUGGUCUCACCAGACAAAAUAAAUUCUAGAACCGUUCCGUAGGUGAACCUGCGGAAGGAUCAUUACUGAGAACUUGCCCUUUGGGGUAGAUCUCCCACCCUCUGUUUACAUACCUUUGUUGCUUUGGCAGGCCCGCCUCACGGCCGCCGGCUUCGGCUGGCCCGUGCCUGCCAGAGGAUCCAAAACUCUUAUUAUCUCUGCCGUCUGAGUAACAUAUAAUAAUUAAAACUUUCAACAACGGAUCUCUUGGUUCUGGCAUCGAUGAAGAACGCAGCGAAAUGCGAUAAGUAAUGUGAAUUGCAGAAUUCAGUGAAUCAUCGAAUCUUUGAACGCACAUUGCGCCCUCUGGUAUUCCGGGGGGCAUGCCUGUUCGAGCGUCAUUACAACCCUCAAGCUCUGCUUGGUAUUGGGCACCACCGGCUCGGUGUGCCUCAAAAUCAGUGGCGGCGCCACCUGGCUUCAAGCGUAGUAACACCUCUCGCUUCUGGAGACCCGGUGCGUGCCCGCCAGCAACGCCCUCUCUUUAAAGGUGACCUC